Phascolarctos cinereus (koala) is the source of this 400-nucleotide non-coding RNA. NCBI's taxonomy places the organism in Eukaryota, Metazoa, Chordata, Mammalia, Diprotodontia, Phascolarctidae. The record is from RefSeq and is a predicted model, not a curated record.
UCUCUCUCUCUCUCUCUCUCUCUCUCUCUCUCUCUCUCUCUCUCUCUCUCUCUCGCUAGGCUGCUCCCAAGUGACAGAGUUUCUUUUCACUCUUGUAUGGCCUGGGGAGGAACUGAAUUUUGAAUCUAUUCUUCAUCUAGGUCACAAGGGGAGCCAAGACAGCUGAAAGAACCACUUGAUCUUUCUCCCUCUCCCUGUUCCUUUCUCUCUCACUCUCAAUUCCUCUCCCUCUCUCUUUUUGCAAGCUGCAAGCCUAUAAUAACAGGUUUCAAGGUUGCCAGCACUGCAGAAGCACCUUUGUACGGGAAGACGGAAUAAAAGGGCUGGAGGUGACCUUGAAGAAGAAGCUUGAAGACAGAUGGUGAGCUUGGUGGCACAGUGGACAGACAGAGCUUUGAAC